This 329-nucleotide ribosomal RNA is filed under the name uncultured prokaryote. RNAcentral describes it as "bacterial SSU rRNA". It matches the Rfam family "Bacterial small subunit ribosomal RNA", at positions 26 to 352 of the family's 1533-position model. The record is from RNAcentral.
AGAUUGAACGCUGGCGGCAUGCCUAACACAUGCAAGUCGAGGCGGCAGCGCGGGGGCGACCCUGGCGGCGAGCGGCGGACGGGUGAGUAAGGCAUCGGAAUCUGCCCGUGAUGUGGGGGAUAACGUAGGGAAACUUACGCUAAUACCGCAUAGUGCCCGUACGGGGUAAAGCGGGGGAUCGUAAGACCUCGCGCUGGUGGAUGAGCCUACGUCCGAUUAGGUUAGUUGGUGGGUAAAGGCCUACCAAGGCUACGAUCGGUAGCUGGGUCUGAGAGGACGACCAGCCACACUGGGACUGAGACACGGCCCAGACUCCUACGGGAGGCAGC